This 200-nucleotide small nuclear RNA is filed under the name Felis catus (domestic cat). Its description in RNAcentral is "7SK RNA". It matches the Rfam family "7SK RNA", at positions 1 to 200 of the family's 331-position model. Rfam says of the family: 7SK was discovered as an abundant small nuclear RNA in the mid-70s but a possible function has only recently been suggested. Two independent studies have found that 7SK RNA binds the CDK9/cyclin T complex (known as elongation factor P-TEFb). P-TEFb activates transcription by phosphorylating the C-terminal domain of RNA polymerase II. The record is from Rfam by way of RNAcentral. Lineage: Eukaryota; Metazoa; Chordata; Mammalia; Carnivora; Felidae.
GGACCUGAGGGUGAUCUGGCUGCGACGUCUGUCACCCCAUUGAUCGCCAGGGUUGAUUUGGCUGAUCUGGCUGGCUAGGCAGGUGUCCCCUUCCUCCCUCACCAGACCGUGCGUGUCCCUUCAGAAGCUGCGCGCUGGGUCGAACAGGAUGACCUUCCCUGAUAGAGGAGGACAGUUCUUCGGUCAAGGGUAUACGAGUU